CUCUGCCAUCAGAGUUCGAUUAGCCAUGUUAGUCGAGGGUGCUUCUUCUUCGGAAGAAGUAACCCGGCGGACGGCUCAGUAACACGUGGAUAACUUGCCCUUGGGUCCGGGAUAACCCCUGAGAAAUUGGGGACAAUACCGGAUAGGGCAUCGAUAGCUGGAAUGCGCGAUGUCCAAAAGCUGAGGCGCCCAAGGAUAGGUCUGCGGCCGAUUAGGUUGUUGUUGAUGUAAUGGAUCAACAAGCCUGCAAUCGGUACGGGUUGUGAGAGCAAGAGCCCGGAGAUGGGUUCUGAGAAAAGAACCCAGGUCCUACGGGACGCAUCAGGCGCGAAAACUUUACAAUGUGCGAAAGCACGAUAAGGGAACUCUGAGUGCCUCCUAUCGAGGCUGUUCAGGUGUCUAAAAAGCACUUGAAGUAAGGGCUGGGUAAGACCGGUGCCAGCCGCCGCGGUAACACCGGCAGCCCAAGUGGUAGCCAUGAUUAUUGGGUCUAAAGCGUCCGUAGCCGGCCAGGUAAGUUCUUUGGGAAAUUUAACCGCUCAACGGUUAAGCUUUCAGGGAAUACUGCUUGGCUUGGGACCGGGAGAGGUCAGAGGUACUUCAAGGGUAGGGGUGAAAUCCGUUAAUCCUUGAGGGACCACCAGUAGCGAAGGCGUCUGACCAGACCGGGUCCGACGGUGAGGGACGAAGGCUAGGGUCGCGAACCGGAUUANAUACCCNGGGUAGUCCUAGCUGUAAAACGAUGCGGGCNAGGUGUUGGCAUUACUGCNAGUGAUGUCAGUGCCCAA
Molecule: ribosomal RNA, 788 nt
Filed under: uncultured euryarchaeote
Lineage: Archaea; Methanobacteriati; Methanobacteriota
Description: bacterial SSU rRNA
Rfam family: Archaeal small subunit ribosomal RNA
Source: RNAcentral